CCCUGGUAGUCCCAGCCUUAAACGGUGUACCACUUGGUGUGGGAGGAUUUGACCCCUUCUGUGCCGGAGCUAACGCGUUAAGUGUACCGCCUGGGGAGUACGGCCGCAAGGUUAAAACUCAAAGAAAUUGACGGGGGCCCGCACAAGCGGAGGAGCAUGUGGCUUAAUUCGAUGCAACGCGAAGAACCUUACCAGGACUUGACAUGCAACUGCACGUCCCGUGAAAGCGGGAUUCCUUCGAGGGUGUUGCACAGGUGCUGCAUGGCUGUCGUCAGUUCGUGCCGUGAGGUGUUGGGUUAAGUCCCGCAACGAACGCAACCCUUGUGUUUAGUUGCCACCAUCGGUGAUGAAUCGAUGAGCACUCUAAACAGACUGCCCAUAUCAAAUGGGAGGAAGGUGGGGAUGACGUCAAGUCAGUAUGGCCUUUAUGUCCUGGGCUGCACACGUGCUACAAUGGCCGGUACAAUGGGAUGCAAGACCGCGAGGUGGAGCUGAUCCUCUAAAACCGGUCUCAGUUCAGAUUGAAGUCUGCAAUUCGACUUCAUGAAGCUGGAUUCGCUA
This 561-nucleotide ribosomal RNA is filed under the name uncultured bacterium. Its description in RNAcentral is "bacterial SSU rRNA". It matches the Rfam family "Bacterial small subunit ribosomal RNA", at positions 785 to 1337 of the family's 1533-position model. The record is from RNAcentral.